AGUUUUAACAACUUGAACACACAACUGAACGUUCCCGUUACUUUCGACUGUAAAUAUACCAAAGGCUUGAAGCAUGGGUGUUGAGUAAAUUGACAGGCGGUCUGAGAGCACAGCCUUUCCUGCGCCAGAAAGCUACCUAGCUCUGGUACUUGGACCUUGGGAAGAGAAUCCUGAUCAAGCCAAAGUAGCCCAGGAGAACUGAGCAGCGUUUGUGGGAGGAGCCGACCUUGUGCAGAGAGGUCGGUUAGAGUCGACAUUCCCAAGAUGCUGGAGUUGUUCCAGACUGGUCAUGAGUAUAUAGUGGAGAAGGAACGCUGUCAUCACUACGGUAGGAACGGUAAGUCAGAAGGCACACUGUCAUCACUACGGUAGGAACGGUAAGUC
Long non-coding RNA from Oncorhynchus kisutch (coho salmon), 384 nucleotides. RefSeq lists it as uncharacterized. Lineage: Eukaryota; Metazoa; Chordata; Actinopteri; Salmoniformes; Salmonidae. The record is from RefSeq and is a predicted model, not a curated record. The transcript is spliced from 3 exons.